CGCCAGACUCCUACGGGAGGCAGCAGUGGGGAAUAUUGCACAAUGGGGGAAACCCUGAUACAGCGACGCCGCGUGAGCGAUGAAGUAUUUCGGUAUGUAAAGCUCUAUCAGCAGGGAAGAAGAUGACGGUACCUGACUAAGAAGCCCCGGCUAACUACGUGCCAGCAGCCGCGGUAAUACGUAGGGGGCAAGCGUUAUCCGGAUUUACUGGGUGUAAAGGGAGCGUAGACGGCGGCGCAAGCCAGAUGUGAAAGCCCGGGGCUCAACUCCGGGACUGCAUUUGGAACUGUGUGGCUGGAGUGUCGGAGAGGCAGGCGGAAUUCCUAGUGUAGCGGUGAAAUGCGUAGAUAUUAGGAGGAACACCAGUGGCGAAGGCGGCCUGCUGGACGAUGACUGACGUUGAGGCUCGAAAGCGUGGGGAGCAAACAGGAUUAGAUACCCUGGUA
Molecule: ribosomal RNA, 446 nt
Filed under: uncultured bacterium
Lineage: Bacteria
Description: bacterial SSU rRNA
Rfam family: Bacterial small subunit ribosomal RNA
Source: RNAcentral